AGCAGUUUUCCCCUGCAGUCAUGCCCAGCUGAGCCUGUGCAAUUCAUCCUCACACAGCAAUUCCCUGCGUAGAUGUGUCAGGUCUUCCUCUCUCUUCUCUGCUCCUGCUCUGCUCUCUCUAGCUCAGUCCAGGGCAUUUAUAUGGAUCCAAAAGUUUGGAAUGAGAUUUUGGAUUGCAUGUACUUGUAAUUCAGCUCAUAAAUUAGUACUGGAAAACUAUACUGCUUUGCUGCGAUGUCUGCCUGGUAGUGUUCUUGUAACGCUGUCCACAAGGGUAGGUUAUUGGCAGAAAGCUCAAGCCACAUCUUGGAAGUUUUUCCUGUUGCCUUACGCCUCUCUUUGACCUGUCUGGCUUGGCUGUGACCCAGCCGCUUUAGGCUCUUGCUGGUUUGACGUCCCUCACCCACAGUCACGGGGCACACAGCUUCCUGCUGUCCUCAAGGAGGCAGCUGAUACUACAGAAAACGAUCAUCUCGGGUUUCUCGCUUCUCCUGCUCACUCUUAGGUUAGCUCAGGUUCUUAAUUUUUCAAAGCAACACAAUCAAAUAGCGUCUUUCUUGCAUGGCACUGAAAAUCAGGGUAAAAUUGGCUGCUAGACAUUUCCUGUUUAUGGCACUUCUUGCCAUAUUUUGACCUCAUUCAACCUUAACUCUUUUCUUUUAAGAUAGAAAUGCUGGGGGAGAAAAGGGCUAUCGAACCAGGCCUACUCUGUUAUUAAUUAUGAAUUAUUGCCGUGUUGCUGCAUUAAUGAUGGCUCUUUUAUGUGAGAUACCUUGUAUUUCUGAGGCAUUCACAGAACCAACUACCAUGUGGUCCGAAGAUURUCAAAAACCUGCAACUAAGUGCUGGCUUGCAAUUUGUAUGUAUGGACACAAGAUUCAGUGCUCAUUUCUCCAAAUGGCUGCAGGUAAUGUGGACAACUGGCAGAAUAAGGGAAAGAAUAUGCAUGUACCAGCCACAAACAGGGUUAGUAUAACUGAAGUCAUGAAUGUCUCUGAGCUCUUGCAAUGCAGUCCUCUCCUGGGAAUUACAAGCCAGUGGAAAAAUAUCUUUUCAAAUGUGGGUUUUUGUUACAGAGUAACACACAGCCAUGACUACUCACCUCACACUCUUUAAUCUUUUAAAAUACCUCUUUCCCUGAUUUGACAAUCUGUGGCAUACACAGUUAAAAGCUG
RNAcentral lists this long non-coding RNA (1175 nucleotides) under Apteryx owenii (little spotted kiwi). RNAcentral describes it as "lncRNA (ENSAOWG00000007247.1)". Lineage: Eukaryota; Metazoa; Chordata; Aves; Apterygiformes; Apterygidae. The record is from RNAcentral.